This 1699-nucleotide long non-coding RNA is filed under the name Sus scrofa (pig). RNAcentral describes it as "lncRNA (ENSSSCG00025048502.1)". The record is from RNAcentral. Lineage: Eukaryota; Metazoa; Chordata; Mammalia; Artiodactyla; Suidae.
AGUCACCUCAAUCACCACACUUGCCAUUGUGAUUUUACAUGGUUAGUGUUAUUUCUUACAGGUAAUGCUGUUUUGUCCGGAAAGUUGCUGACCUUGUAGCCCAGCCAAUAUUUUGGUGAAGAAGUAGAAGUUCCUGGAUGAAGAGUCUUGGUCAGGAGGUUCUCCUCCACGUGGUAAUCCAUGGAUCCAGUCUCCAACCAACUCAUGGCUGUAUAUCUGUCUGGCUGGUAAACAAAAAGAAAGAACAUGCAGAAUGCAGCCCUUGUUCAAUGACACUAAAGGAAGAUAGAAGACUUCAGGAGAAAAUGCAAGCCUAUCUCUAUUAGCUGUGGUGCAACGGCCGAAGCAGCAACUCCAAGGUGAUUUGGUGUUCUGCAGUGUAACUUGAACAUUUAGUCUUAAACAAAUGAAUAGCCUGAAAGCAGAGAAUCAAUAGUUCUCUGAGAACAGUGUUUGCAUUUUCCUUCCGAUUAUGGCAUUCUCCCAAUAACUUAGAUUUCCUUUAAUGACAGUGAUCUUGGGCAGCUUCAGAUGCUCUGACCCAGUGCCCAACCAGAUCUUAUUAAAACUUUUGUUAUUUGUGUACACUACAGUUUAUGUGCUAUCUGCAUAAUGUCCCUUUUCCUGGUAGGAAGAAAAUCACAGACAAAUGCGUUAGAAUGUAUUAUGUUAUAAUUCAUGUCUAAGAAAUUUUGAGGUAUUUGGUUCUAAAACACCUUGUACUAAUUUCUCAGUUAUCCCAGUACUUCCUCAAACCUCCUUAAAUGUUAUGAUUUUGGUCCCUACCAAGCAAGGUUAUCAAUGACUCUGUGAUUUCUUCUAAUAGGCAAAAUGCAAUAGGUAUAUUAAAAUAUAAGCCUAAGUCAUUUACAGCUUGACUUGUAUGGCUUUUGAUUCCUUUUGAACACCUGUCGACACGUACCAGUGGACACCCUGAAUCUCAAGUGGUGAGAAUAGCACAUGGUUCAAGUGGACCUCUGCCAACUCUGCUGCCAGAGUCCCAGUACAGUGGAUGGUUAAAACCACAUAUGGUUCAACCAGAUUCUAUGGGGCAGAAUGGGAAAGACAGACUUCUGGGCCUGUCAUAGAACAAAGAUCCAACCAGACAGCCAUUUUCAGGGCUGCCAAGAGUAUUAUUCAGAGAGAUGUGCACAGCAAUAAGAGACAGGCAAGUUACCCAUUUUGAGAUCCAAGAAAACGAAGUUUGUCAGCUAUGCACCCCAUGCCAUGGUAAUAGGUAAGCUCUUUGGUCGCAUUUUCAAGGAGAUGUGUUUGCUUGCUUUAGCCUCUAUUCCAAUCUCCUGAUUGCAAUUUAAGAGAAAUGAAAAAAUCUAGCCUGGCCUCAUAUUUAUUCAAUUUUUUUUUUUUUUUUUUUUAGGGCCAUACUCAUGGCAUAUGGAGGUUCCCAGGCUGGGGUCUAAUUGGAGCUACAGCUGCUGGCCUACACCACAGUCACAGCAAUGCCAGAUUCAAGCCACAUUUGCAUCAUACACCACAGCUCAUGGCAAUGCAGGAUCCUGAACCCACUGAGCGAGGCCAGGGAUUGAACCCGCAACGUCAUGGUUCCUAGUCAGAUUCAUUUCCACUGAGCCACAAUAGGACCUCCUUCAUUCAAAAUUUGAUGCUUAAAAGGUAGGAAAAUAGUGGAGUAUUGUCCAAUAUAAAAAGAAUAAAUUGGACUUAAAAUUUUCUUUUACCA